RNAcentral lists this unclassified non-coding RNA (347 nucleotides) under soil metagenome. RNAcentral's name for it is "partial contains 5.8S ribosomal RNA, internal transcribed spacer 2, and large subunit ribosomal RNA". The stretch from base 1 to 121 matches the Rfam family "5.8S ribosomal RNA", at positions 35 to 154 of the family's 154-position model. The record is from RNAcentral.
GAUGAAGAACGUAGCGAAAUGUGAUAAGUAAUGCGAAUUGCAGAAUUUCCGUGAAUCAUCGAGUCUUUGAACGCACAUUGCGCCCCCUGGUAUUCCGGGGGGCAUGCCUGUCCGAGCGUCAUUGCUGCCCUCAAGCACGGCUUGUGUGUUGGGCCCCGUCCUUCGAUCCCGGGGGACGGGCCCGAAAGGCAGCGGCGGCACCGCGUCCGGUCCUCGAGCGUAUGGGGCUUUGUCACCCGCUCUGUAGGCCCGGCCGGCGCUUGCCGAUCAACCCAAAUUUUUAUCCAGGUUGACCUCGGAUCAGGUAGGGAUACCCGCUGAACUUAAGCAUAUCAAUAAGCGGAGGA